Molecule: ribosomal RNA, 338 nt
Filed under: uncultured bacterium
Lineage: Bacteria
Description: bacterial SSU rRNA
Rfam family: Bacterial small subunit ribosomal RNA
Source: RNAcentral
GAUGAACGCUGGCGGCGUGCUUAACACAUGCAAGUCGAACGAAGCACUUUACUUGAUUUUCUUCGGAACUGAUUGUAUUGUGACUGAGUGGCGGACGGGUGAGUAACGCGUGGAUAACCUGCCUCACACAGGGGGAUAACAGUUGGAAACGGCUGCUAAUACCGCAUAAGCGCACAGCACCGCAUGGUGCAGUGUGAAAAACUCCGGUGGUGUGAGAUGGAUCCGCGUCUGAUUAGGCAGUUGCGGGUAACGGCCACAACCGACGAUCAGUAGCCGGCCUGAGAGGGCGACGCACAUUGGGACUGAGACACGGCCCAGACUCCUACGGGAGCAGCAGU